UGCCUUUUGAAUUCUUAUAAAAGGUAACUCCUGCCCAGUGAAAAUAAAUUCAACGGCCGCGGUAUCCUAACCGUGCAAAGGUAGCAUAAUCACUUGUCUAUUAAUUGUAGACUAGAAUGAAAGGAUAAACGAAAUAAGAGCUGUCUCUAUUAGUUUUAUAUAAAUUAUAAUUUAGAUGAAGAUAUCUAUAUUUAAAUGAAAGACAAGAAGACCCUAUAGAGCUUUAUUAUUAAAGAGAACUAAACCUCUCCAAAAGAUUCGGUUGGGGCGACCAAGGGAUCAAUCAUCACCCUUUUAAUUUUUGAUUAAUAAAUCUUUUCCUUGACCCUUUAUAAAGAGCAUAAAAACAAGCUACCUUAGGGAUAACAGGCUAAUCUUGUUAAAGAGUCCUUAUCUAUAAUAAGGGUUGGCACCUCGAUGUUGGCUUAGGGUAUCAUUAUGGCGCAAAAGUCAUAAAAAGAUGGUUUGUUCAACCUAUAAUUCCCU
This 486-nucleotide ribosomal RNA is filed under the name Glyphidrilus sp. 11 PJ-2018. Its description in RNAcentral is "partial small subunit ribosomal RNA". It matches the Rfam family "Bacterial large subunit ribosomal RNA", at positions 1829 to 2597 of the family's 2925-position model. Lineage: Eukaryota; Metazoa; Annelida; Clitellata; Crassiclitellata; Almidae. The record is from RNAcentral.